UUGAAAUUAAACAUAUGUAGUUAGCACUGUAAAAACUUCACUCCUUGAUUUUCUGUGUUUUGCAACUAAAAAGGAAAAAAGUGAUGCCAAAAUGUGUUCCAUUGAUAAAGUGGGAGAUGAUAAAUGGGUUUAGGUUUUAUGUAUUUUUUUCACUUCAAAUACCUGACCAUCUUUUUCUGUUAGUUUGUGAAGUCUUAGAAAACAUGGAUAUCUGUUUCUUUUAAGUCCCGUAGCGCUUAUAAUGGGUGCUCAGAAAUAGUAAAUAUUUUUGAUUGGCUGAUUCCAGUUUGGAUUCCAGUUUAAAAUGCCAAAGUAGAGUCAUUAACAUCUUUGUACUGAAGAACU
Molecule: long non-coding RNA, 345 nt
Filed under: Bos taurus (domestic cattle)
Lineage: Eukaryota; Metazoa; Chordata; Mammalia; Artiodactyla; Bovidae
Description: long non-coding RNA NONBTAT015067
Source: RNAcentral